This 253-nucleotide ribosomal RNA is filed under the name uncultured bacterium. Its description in RNAcentral is "partial 16S ribosomal RNA". It matches the Rfam family "Bacterial small subunit ribosomal RNA", at positions 524 to 776 of the family's 1533-position model. The record is from RNAcentral.
UACGAAGGGUGCAAGCGUUAAUCGGAAUUACUGGGCGUAAAGCGUGCGCAGGCGGUUAUGCAAGACAGAUGUGAAAUCCCCGGGCUCAACCUGGGAACUGCAUUUGUGACUGCAUGGCUAGAGUGCGGCAGAGGGGGAUGGAAUUCCGCGUGUAGCAGUGAAAUGCGUAGAUAUGCGGAGGAACACCGAUGGCGAAGGCAAUCCCCUGGGCCUGCACUGACGCUCAUGCACGAAAGCGUGGGGAGCAAACAGG